Molecule: ribosomal RNA, 516 nt
Filed under: uncultured Acaulospora
Lineage: Eukaryota; Fungi; Glomeromycota; Glomeromycetes; Diversisporales; Acaulosporaceae
Description: SSU rRNA
Rfam family: Eukaryotic small subunit ribosomal RNA
Source: RNAcentral
AGCAGCCGCGGUAAUUCCAGCUCCAAUAGCGUAUAUUAAAGUUGUUGCAGUUAAAAAGCUCGUAGUUGAAUUUCGGAGUUUAUCGGUUGGUCGGGCUUCACUGUCCGCACUGGCCUGAUGGAUUCCUACCUUCUGAAUAACCAGCAUGCUAUUAAUUUAGUGCGUUGGGGAAGCAGAGCUAUUACCUUGAAAAAAUUAGAGUGCUUAAAGCAGGCUUAUGCUUGAAUAGAUUAGCAUGGAAUAAUAAAAUAGGACGGCUUGGUUCUAUUUUGUUGGUUUCUAGGAUCACCGUAAUGAUUAAUAGGGAUAGUUGGGGGCAUUAGUAUUCAAUUGUCAGAGGUGAAAUUCUUGGAUUUAUUGAAGACUAACUUCUGCGAAAGCAUUUGCCAAGGAUGUUUUCAUUAAUCAAGAACGAAAGUUAGGGGAUCGAAGACGAUCAGAUACCGUCGUAGUCUUAACCAUAAACUAUGCCGACUAGGGAUCGGACGAUGUUAAUUUUUAAUGACUCGUUCGGCG